Molecule: small nucleolar RNA, 114 nt
Organism: Zingiber officinale
Lineage: Eukaryota; Viridiplantae; Streptophyta; Magnoliopsida; Zingiberales; Zingiberaceae
Product: small nucleolar RNA U19
Exons: 1
Source: RefSeq, a predicted model, not a curated record
AUCUGGCUUAGUUAGGGGGCGAACAGAAAAGGGAAGUUUUCUCCCUGCGAGACCUUUUGAGGGGAUUCCAUCACUCAUCUCCAUGUGGUAUCCCCCAAGCAGUCUCGAACAUCA